AUGCCGGAGUGCUUGCACUUGGAUGGACUGAGUGGCGGACGGGUGAGUAACGCGUGGGUAACCUGCCUUAUACAGGGGGAGUAACAGAUGGAAACAUCUGCUAAUACCGCAUAAGACCACGGGAUCACAUGGUUCUGAGGUAAAAGAUUUAUCGGUUUGGGGUGGGCUCGCGUCCGAUUAGGUAGUUGGUGAGGUAAUGGCCCACCAAGCCGACGAUCGGUAGCCGACCUGAGAGGGUGAUCGGCCACAUUGGGACUGAGACACGGCCCAAACUCC
This 276-nucleotide ribosomal RNA is filed under the name uncultured Eubacteriales bacterium. Its description in RNAcentral is "uncultured Clostridiales bacterium partial 16S ribosomal RNA". It matches the Rfam family "Bacterial small subunit ribosomal RNA", at positions 68 to 339 of the family's 1533-position model. Lineage: Bacteria; Bacillati; Bacillota; Clostridia; Eubacteriales. The record is from RNAcentral.